RNAcentral lists this ribosomal RNA (458 nucleotides) under uncultured bacterium. RNAcentral describes it as "bacterial SSU rRNA". It matches the Rfam family "Bacterial small subunit ribosomal RNA", at positions 340 to 786 of the family's 1533-position model. The record is from RNAcentral.
UACGGAAGGCAGCAGCGGGGAAUAUUGCACAAUGGGCGAAAGCCUGAUGCAGCUAUGCCGCGUGUAUGAAGAAGGCCUUAGGGUUGUAAAGUACUUUCAUCGGGGAGGAAAAAACAAAACUAAUAAUUUUAUUUCUUGACGUUACCCGAAAAAGAAGCACCGGCUAACUCCGUGCCAGCAGCCGCGGUAAUACGGAGGGUGCUAGCGUUAAUCAGAAUUACUGGGCGUAAAGAGCACGUAGGUGGUUUUUUAAGUUCAGAUGUGAAAUCCCUGGGCUUAACCUAGGAACUGCAUUUUGAAACUGAAAUACUAGAGUAUCGUAGAGGGAGGUAGAAUUCUAGGUGUAGCGGUGAAAUGCGUAGAUAUCUGGAGGAAUACCUGUGGCGAAAGCGGCCUCCUAAACGAAUACUGACACUGAGGGUGCGAAAGCGGUGGGGAGCAAACAGGGAUUAGAUACC